RNAcentral lists this ribosomal RNA (468 nucleotides) under uncultured bacterium. RNAcentral's name for it is "partial 16S ribosomal RNA". It matches the Rfam family "Bacterial small subunit ribosomal RNA", at positions 28 to 507 of the family's 1533-position model. The record is from RNAcentral.
GACGAACGCUGGCGGCGUGCUUAACACAUGCAAGUCGAACGGAAAGGCCCUGCUUUUGUGGGGUGCUCGAGUUGCGAACGGGUGAGUAACACGUGAGUAACCUGCCCUUGACUUUGGGAUAACUUCAGGAAACUGGGGCUCAUACCGGAUAGGAGCUCCUGCUGCAUGGUGGGGGUUGGAAAGUUUCGGCGGUUGGGGAUGGACUCGCGGCUUAUCAGCUUGUUGGUGGGGUAGUGGCUUACCAAGGCUUUGACGGGUAGCCGGCCUGAGCGGGUGACCGGCCACAUUGGGACUGAGAUACGGCACAGACUCCUACGGGAGGCAGCAGUGGGGAAUAUUGCACAAUGGGCGGAAGCCAGAUGCAGCAACGCCGCGUGCGGGAUGACGGGAUGCGGGUUGUAAACCGAUGUCGCCUGUGACGAAGCGUGAGUGACGGUAAUGGGUAAAGAAGCACCGGCUAACUACGUG